AUUGAACGCUGGCGGAAUGCUUUACACAUGCAAGUCGAACGGCAGCACGGGGGCAACCCUGGUGGCGAGUGGCGAACGGGUGAGUAAUACAUCGGAACGUGCCCAGUCGUGGGGGAUAACGUAGCGAAAGUUACGCUAAUACCGCAUACGAUCUACGGAUGAAAGCGGGGGACCGUAAGGCCUCGCGCGAUUGGAGCGGCCGAUGUCAGAUUAGGUAGUUGGUGAGGUAAAGGCUCACCAAGCCGACGAUCUGUAGCUGGUCUGAGAGGACGACCAGCCACACUGGGACUGAGACACGGCCCAGACUCCUACGGGAGGCAGCAGUGGGGAAUUUUGGACAAUGGGCGAAAGCCUGAUCCAGCCAUUCCGCGUGCAGGAUGAAGGCCCUCGGGUUGUAAACUGCUUUUGUACAGAACGAAAAGGUUUCUACUAGUACGGGGGACUCAUGACGGUACCGUAAGAAUAAGCACCGGCUAACUACGUGCCAGCAGCCGCCGUAA
This 500-nucleotide ribosomal RNA is filed under the name uncultured bacterium. Its description in RNAcentral is "partial 16S ribosomal RNA". It matches the Rfam family "Bacterial small subunit ribosomal RNA", at positions 30 to 523 of the family's 1533-position model. The record is from RNAcentral.